CCUACGGGAGGCAGCAGUGGGGAAUAUUGGACAAUGGGCGCAAGCCUGAUCCAGCAAUGCCGCGUGAGUGAUGAAGGCCUUAGGGUCGUAAAGCUCUUUUACCAGGGAUGAUAAUGACAGUACCUGGAGAAUAAGCUCCGGCUAACUCCGUGCCAGCAGCCGCGGUAAUACGGAGGGAGCUAGCGUUGUUCGGAAUUACUGGGCGUAAAGCGUACGUAGGCGGUUAUUCAAGUCAGAGGUGAAAGCCCGGGGCUCAACCCCGGAACGGCCUUUGAAACUAGGUAGCUAGAAUCUUGGAGAGGUCAGUGGAAUUCCGAGUGUAGAGGUGAAAUUCGUAGAUAUUCGGAAGAACACCAGUGGCGAAGGCGACUGACUGGACAAGUAUUGACGCUGAGGUACGAAAGCGUGGGGAGCAAACAGGAUUAGAUACCCUGGUAGUCCACGCCGUAAACGAUGAUAACUAGCUGUUCGGGCACUUGGUGCUUGAGUGGCGCAGCUACGCAUUAAGUUAUUCCGUCCGUGGGUAGGUACGGUCGCGAAGAAUUAAACUACAAAGAAGUAGACGGCGNGAGACGUGCCGACGGACGACGACGAGGGAGUAGG
Molecule: ribosomal RNA, 603 nt
Filed under: uncultured bacterium
Lineage: Bacteria
Description: bacterial SSU rRNA
Rfam family: Bacterial small subunit ribosomal RNA
Source: RNAcentral